GCCGGGCGUGGUGGCUCAUGCCUGUAAUCCCAGCAUUUUGGGAGGCCGAGACGGGUGGAUCACCUGAGGUCAGGAGUUCAGGACCAGCCUGGCCAACAUGGUGAAACUCUGUCUCUA
This 117-nucleotide non-coding RNA is filed under the name Homo sapiens (human). Lineage: Eukaryota; Metazoa; Chordata; Mammalia; Primates; Hominidae. The record is from Rfam by way of RNAcentral.